GCGUCUUCAGGCUCCCAACUGGCUUCAGUUCGGGGAAGCUUUCGCCACUUCACCAAGUACUUUGUCUGCUCAGCUCCGUUGGGUAGCUUUAUCUUGCGAUCCGCCAGAAUGGUUUCCACUCGCUUCUCGUAGGAGGCUGUGAUGGGAGGUAGCCGAGUUGGAACACUUCGGGAAGCAUCUUGCGGAUCCGAGUGGUAGGCUUUUAGGUUGCUGGCGUGAAGAACGUUGUGAAUUUUGAACCACGCCGGCAGCUGCAACUUGUAAGAGACGUUGCCUACCCUGCUGAUAAUUGGGAAGGGCCCUUCAUACUUGCGCACCAAUCCUUUGUGGACUCUGUUCCUAAAGAAUUGGAGUGAUGC
Molecule: long non-coding RNA, 359 nt
Filed under: Musa acuminata (dwarf banana)
Lineage: Eukaryota; Viridiplantae; Streptophyta; Magnoliopsida; Zingiberales; Musaceae
Description: long non-coding RNA (MACU_LNC010569)
Source: RNAcentral